RNAcentral lists this ribosomal RNA (207 nucleotides) under uncultured bacterium. Its description in RNAcentral is "partial 16S ribosomal RNA". It matches the Rfam family "Bacterial small subunit ribosomal RNA", at positions 568 to 774 of the family's 1533-position model. The record is from RNAcentral.
UGCGCAGGCGGUUCGUUGUGUCGGUGGUGAAAGCCCCGGGCUUAACCUGGGAAUGGCCGUCGAAACUGGCGAACUGGAGUGUGGCAGAGGGGGGUGGAACUCCGCGUGUAGCAGUGAAAUGCGUAGAGAUGCGGAAGAACACCGGUGGCGAAGGCAGCCCCCUGGGCUGACACUGACGCUGAGACGCGAAAGCGUGGGGAGCGAACA